This 253-nucleotide ribosomal RNA is filed under the name uncultured bacterium. RNAcentral's name for it is "partial 16S ribosomal RNA". It matches the Rfam family "Bacterial small subunit ribosomal RNA", at positions 524 to 776 of the family's 1533-position model. The record is from RNAcentral.
GACAGAGGGUGCAAACGUUGCUCGGAUUGACUGGGCGUAAAGCGCGUGUAGGUGGUCUCGCCAGUCAGGUGUGAAAGCCCAGGGCUCAACCCUGGAAGUGCACCUGAUACUACGAGGCUUGAGUUCUGUAGAGGAGAGCGGAAUUCCCGGUGUAGAGGUGAAAUUCGUAGAUAUCGGGAGGAACACCAGUGGCGAAGGCGGCUCUCUGGACAGGUACUGACACUGAGACGCGAAAGCGUGGGUAGCAAACAGG